RNAcentral lists this ribosomal RNA (416 nucleotides) under uncultured Acidobacteriota bacterium. RNAcentral describes it as "SSU rRNA". It matches the Rfam family "Bacterial small subunit ribosomal RNA", at positions 242 to 649 of the family's 1533-position model. The record is from RNAcentral. Lineage: Bacteria; Pseudomonadati; Acidobacteriota.
CAGCUAGUUGGUGAGGUAACGGCUCACCAAGGCGACGAUCGGUAUCCGGCCUGAGAGGGCGGACGGACACACUGGGACUGAGACACGGCCCAGACUCCUACGGGAGGCAGCAGUGGGGAAUUGUUCGCAAUGGGCGCAAGCCUGACGACGCAACGCCGCGUGGAGGAUGAAGGUCUUCGGAUUGUAAACUCCUGUUGAUCGGGACGAACAUCCAUCGGGAUAACACCCCGUAGGACUGACGGUACCGAUUGAGGAAGCCCCGGCUAACUCUGUGCCAGCAGCCGCGGUAAUACAGAGGGGGCAAGCGUUGUUCGGAAUUACUGGGCGUAAAGGGCGCGUAGGCGGCCACCUAAGUCAGACGUGAAAUCCCUCGGCUCAACCGGGGAACUGCGUCUGAUACUGGGCGGCUUGAAUUC